This 860-nucleotide long non-coding RNA is filed under the name Phascolarctos cinereus (koala). Its description in RNAcentral is "lncRNA (ENSPCIG00000035169.1)". Lineage: Eukaryota; Metazoa; Chordata; Mammalia; Diprotodontia; Phascolarctidae. The record is from RNAcentral.
CCAUAAUCACAGCGGGCGAGAGCGGAGACGGGGAGCGAAAAAUCCGGGAUCCGGCAACUUUGGGGCGCGCAUGCGCGCCCGCCGCGCUCCAUCCCAAACACACACACAUUUUUCCCCCGGACUUGGAAAGUCACCCAAAGCCGCCCCAAGUGCAGGACCGACAGACUCCACUGAUUGAAGGCAAAGAUCUCUUCCCCUCCGGUCUCCGUCUCUGCUUAUAGUCAUCGGCCCCUCCUUGCCAAGGGGAAGGUGAAAAACCCCAGCAGGUUGGAAUGGACUUCAGACCCUGGGCCUUCUGGAUGCAAGGAUGAAGUGAUUCUGCCAGCCACAUACCAACCGAGCGGCCAAGGAGCGAUCCCCCACAAGAACGUAUGCUACCUGAAGGCAGCUCUCAGCCCAAUGCCCUGCACACAAGGAGUGCUGAGUGACCAGCGUUUGGAACCAGGUCCUUGGAUUGCGGAUCCAGAACUCGGGGCAGCUGGGUGGUCUUGAGCAAGGCCCUUCCCCUGGGCCUCAGUUCCCUCUGAGGGUCCUUCCAGCUCUGAAGGCUUGUGAUUCCAGGAGCAGGGAGGGGUUGAGUUUCCCUUGGCUUUAGGGGACGGCCACGGGGAAGGGGACAAUCACAGCUGGGCGCACACCAAGGACAGAGGGAGUGGUGAUAGAUAUGCCCAGGGGAGGCCCAGCCAGUGGGGCAGAGCAGAUCCCUCUGGGUCUGGAGGAGAGGGUGGCUGUAGACAGCAGAGACCAGGCGUGGACGGUCCUCAGCAGGGGCUGGAGGCUGGAUAAGGGAAGGUGACCCGGGCAGGCUUGCUGGUGAGCAGGCAGGUGUGUUCCAAGUGGAAAUGAUACUAGAUUUGGGG